AUUCAAAUAGUUUAUUUAAAACAUUUUAUUUUCAAUAAAAAAAAAGAUACAAAUCUUAUGAAUA
Molecule: transfer RNA, 64 nt
Filed under: Batracomorphus rinkihonis
Lineage: Eukaryota; Metazoa; Arthropoda; Insecta; Hemiptera; Cicadellidae
Description: tRNA-Glu
Source: RNAcentral